GAUGAACGCUGGCGGCGUGCCUUAUACAUGCAAGUCGAGCGCACGUACCUGAAGCUCUCUUCUCUGAUGUUAGCGGCGGACGGGUGAGUAACACGUGGCUUACCUUCCUAUCAGACUUGGCUUCCUUCGGGUGACCGUAGUUACUACCGGCUCAUCUUUUUCACCUCAUGGUUCAACCGUGAAAGACGGUCUUGCUGUCACUUUUAGAUGGAUUCGCGCUGCAUUAGCUAGUUGGUCAGGUAACGGCGUACCAAGGUAACGAUGCAUAGCCGACCUGAGAGGGUGAUCAGCCACACGGGAACGGAGACACGGUUCAGACUCCAAAGGGAGGCAGCAGUAGGGAAUCUUCCGCAAUGGGCGAAAGCCUGACGAAGCAAGGACGCGUGAGUGAUGAAGGUCUUCGGAGCGUAAAACGCUGUUAGUAGGGAAGAACAUAUGUGUAAGGAACAGUGCACAACGUGAAGGUACCUAAGCAGAAAGCCACGGCUAACUACGUG
Molecule: ribosomal RNA, 497 nt
Filed under: uncultured bacterium
Lineage: Bacteria
Description: partial 16S ribosomal RNA
Rfam family: Bacterial small subunit ribosomal RNA
Source: RNAcentral